GACGAACCGUGCGAACGUUGUUCGGAAUCACUGGGCUUAAAGGGCGCGUAGGCGGCUUGCCAAGUCAGGGGUGAAAGCCUCCAGCUUAACUGGAGAAGUGCCUUUGAUACUGGCGAGCUAGAGCGAGGUAGGGGCAGAUGGAACUUCCGGUGGAGCGGUGAAAUGCGUUGAUAUCGGAAGGAACGCCGGUGGCGAAAGCGAUCUGCUGGACCUCUUCUGACGCUGAGGCGCGAAAGCUAGGGUAGCGAACGGG
RNAcentral lists this ribosomal RNA (253 nucleotides) under uncultured bacterium. RNAcentral describes it as "partial 16S ribosomal RNA". It matches the Rfam family "Bacterial small subunit ribosomal RNA", at positions 524 to 776 of the family's 1533-position model. The record is from RNAcentral.